UUGGAGCGGCGGGCCGCUGAACGCUUGUGCGUAGGGAUAUAGUGCGCGUGUUUUCAUUAAUUAGAUGGCGUUGUUAAUUAAUUGCUUUUGAAAUAUCAUUGGAAUAUUUGUACUAUCUCGUAGGGCACCGAUUGUGCUGGUUGUAAGCGGAUAUUGUGUUUUCCGGAAUUUCGAAUGCCGCGCUGGCAGUCACGUGACCGGUUCUGAUGUCGAGUCCGACUGCGCGGAAGGCGGUCUUUUCGUUCCCCGCCAUGAUUGGAGGCGGAUGUGUUGCGGGUGCUCCGGAUUUUGGUACCGGUGAGUGAGGUUCUAGAGGUUUGUAACUGCUGAAUCUAAUAUGGUAACUACUCAGUUGAAUUUAUGUGAUGAAUAUUUGUUUUGUUGUAUAACUUUAAUGUGAAAACCGGUUUAUAUGAGCUGAUAUGUUCGAUUCUCCGGGACAGUGGCUCGGUUGCCCCCGAUUCGGGGAGGACAAGCUGUGGAGCUUGUUUGUGGAGGCUGCCCUGGUGGCCUCGUGAGUUCGGUCGCCGUGGUCGUUUGGCAGCGCGCCAGAGACUGGAUAAGCCGGUAUGUUAUCACUAAAGAUGCUCAUUGUCUAUCUUUGCUUUGAAUUUCGAUACCUCAACGUCUGCUGUGUAUUGCUUGAUUUAUUUACUUACUUGUAGAAUGUUAAACAGAGUUCUUGGACCCCGAGCUGUGUUGUGACCCAUUUUGCAUCGUGCCAACUGGUAUUUGACUCGAGCUCGUAUUGUGUGGAUGUGUUUGCAGUAACAAUCAAAUGAUCGAAGACGGGAUCCAGAGCGGUCCAAUACAGAUCUGUCCACGGCCAAGUCUCUGAGGUGGCCAGGUGACCGAGGGGUGGCAGGGAGCAGAUGCGGGCGAUGGUGGCGCGAGCAGUGGCCGGGGGCCAUCUGCAUCUACAGUUACGGCUUCCUUCUCCGCGCCUUCAUCUGCUGGUGAAGCCCAGUAGCGGCUUCCCUCUCUGCGCCUUCGGCUGCGUCUGGAGCUACAGUUGCUGCUUAGUCUCUGCGCCUUCAUCUGCCUCUGGAGCUGCAGCACCGGCUGCGCGCCGCGCCUUCCAGGAUUCUGCCUGAGUGGUGUGUGGCUGGCUGGCGCGGAGUGGUGUGCGGCUGGCUGGCACGGAGUGGUGUGCGGCUGGCUGGCGCGGAGUGGUGCGCGGCUGGCUGGCGCAGAGUGGUGUGCGCCGGCGAGAGGCGCUGAGUGGUGUGCGCCCCCGAGAGGCGCUGAGUGGUGUGCGCCCCCGAGAGGCGCUGAGUUGUGUGCGCCAGCGAGAGGCGCUGAGUGGUGUGCGCCAGCGAGAGGCGCUGCGUGGUGUGCGCCAGCGAGAGGCGCUGCGUGGUGUGCGCCAGCGAGAGGCGCUGCGUGGUGUGCGCCAGCGAGAGGCGCUGCGUGGUGCGCGCCCUUGGUGCGUGCAGUGUAGUGUGCCCCUGGACGGGCUGAGAGGGUGCUCCCAGCGGGUGAGUGCCCCUCUGGCGGAGACAUCUUUCGUGGAGCCGCACCUUCAGCUCUGCAUCUGCUUGAGUAGCAGCGACUGCCUCUCCUCGCUGCCUGGUGCCGGCAUCCUGGUUCGGCCGGAGCUGGGAGCUGGAGGAUCUGGCCGUCUGAGGUUUGCUGCUACCUGCUGCUUCUGCUGGACUGAGUUGACUGUGGCUCGGUUGCCCCCGAUUCGGGGAGGACAAGCUGUGGAGCUUGUUUGUGGAGGCUGCCCUGGUGGCCUCGUGAGUUCGGUCGCCGUGGUCGUUUGGCAGCGCGCCAGAGACUGGAUAAGCCGGUAUGUUAUCACUAAAGAUGCUCAUUGUCUAUCUUUGCUUUGAAUUUCGAUACCUCAACGUCUGCUGUGUAUUGCUUGAUUUAUUUACUUACUUGUAGAAUGUUAAACAGAGUUCUUGGACCCCGAGCUGUGUUGUGACCCAUUUUGCAUCGUGCCAACUGGUAUUUGACUCGAGCUCGUAUUGUGUGGAUGUGUUUGCAGUAACAAUCAAAUGAUCGAAGACGGGAUCCAGAGCGGUCCAAUACAGAUCUGUCCACG
This 2050-nucleotide long non-coding RNA is filed under the name Amphibalanus amphitrite. RNAcentral describes it as "uncharacterized LOC122385371". Lineage: Eukaryota; Metazoa; Arthropoda; Thecostraca; Balanomorpha; Balanidae. The record is from RNAcentral.